Long non-coding RNA from Astatotilapia calliptera (eastern happy), 535 nucleotides. The record is from Ensembl. Lineage: Eukaryota; Metazoa; Chordata; Actinopteri; Cichliformes; Cichlidae.
CAGACCUGUUUCCCACCAGCAAGGAUGAAGGAGCCAGCUCCACACAAUACUUGGCAAGCUUUCUGAAGGAAAUGAGAAUGGCUCCAUCCAUCCAGCUGAGAGGACACUUCCUGUCUCAGAUGACACUGCAUAGAUCAGGUUGGAGCAGAGAAACAGUUCCUGGCGUCAGAGGUCAUUUCGUAUACAUCAGGAGAAGAGGACACUUUCUGAAUUCAGAUUUUGAACAUGAGAAUGUGGACUAACGGAGGUGAGGAUUGGACCACCAACUUUCUGAUCAGCAGAUAACCUGUCUGCCUCCCGAGUCCUGGCAGUGGAGGAUUAAUAGAAUAGAAUAGAAUUGAAUAGAAUAGAAUAGAAUAGAAUUCAACUUUAUUGUCAUUGCACAUGCACAGGUACAGGGCAACGAAAUGCAGUUUGCAUCCAUCCAGAAGUGCUUUAGUGAUAUAGAUAUAUUACAAUAUAUAUUAGCAAUAAUAUAGAUAUGUGAGUAUAUUACAGAAAUGGGUCUAUUAUGGUAUGUUAUAAUGUACACGGU